This is a non-coding RNA of Gossypium hirsutum (cotton), 144 nucleotides long. The record is from Rfam. Lineage: Eukaryota; Viridiplantae; Streptophyta; Magnoliopsida; Malvales; Malvaceae.
CGUUAAAAUUUCAUCCAUUUGCAGUGUUAAAAAUUAGCACGGCUAAUGGAAUAACCAAACAAUGAUACGUGACGUGCCAUGUGUACCUCAUACUGAUGUAAAAGGACCAAUUUUUAAUAGUAAAAAUGGAUUGAUUUUUUAACA